AUCGUAACAAGGUCUCCGUAGGUGAACCUGCGGAGGGAUCAUUACAAGUGACCCCGGCUACGGCCGGGAUGUUCAUAACCCUUUGUUGUCCGACUCUGUUGCCUCCGGGGCGACCCUGCCUUCGGGCGGGGGCUCCGGGUGGACACUUCAAACUCUUGCGUAACUUUGCAGUCUGAGUAAACUUAAUUAAUAAAUUAAAACUUUUAACAACGGAUCUCUUGGUUCUGGCAUCGAUGAAGAACGCAGCGAAAUGCGAUAAGUAAUGUGAAUUGCAGAAUUCAGUGAAUCAUCGAAUCUUUGAACGCACAUUGCGCCCCCUGGUAUUCCGGGGGGCAUGCCUGUUCGAGCGUCAUUUCACCACUCAAGCCUCGCUUGGUAUUGGGCAACGCGGUCCGCCGCGUGCCUCAAAUCGUCCGGCUGGGUCUUCUGUCCCCUAAGCGUUGUGGAAACUAUUCGCUAAAGGGUGUUCGGGAGGCUACGCCGUAAAACAACCCCAUUUCUAAGGUUGACCUCGGAUCAGGUAGGGAUACCCGCUGAACUUAAGCAUAUCAAUAGGCCGGAGG
RNAcentral lists this unclassified non-coding RNA (563 nucleotides) under Cladosporium ramotenellum. RNAcentral describes it as "sequence contains ITS1, 5.8S rRNA gene and ITS2". The stretch from base 199 to 352 matches the Rfam family "5.8S ribosomal RNA". The record is from RNAcentral. Lineage: Eukaryota; Fungi; Ascomycota; Dothideomycetes; Cladosporiales; Cladosporiaceae.